ACCCUUUUCUGCACUUUUUUCCUUGCUCAUCCUCUUCAUCUUCCACCCUUCCCGUCCUCAUCACAUCUUCAGCAAUCUCAUCAUCAUCGUCGCCCAUCUCAAGGUCAUCUGCGUCAACAACUUCACCUUAAACCAUAACACAACAUGCGAGAUGCUUGUCUCUUUAAUGGUUGAUCUACAGAUUAAACAGUCUGACAGAUUUGGAUCCUAGAACUGAGCUAAAGAGCAAAGAGAACUGAAGAUGAAAUAAGAAGGUGGUCGUGCUCCGUAUGGCCAUGGAGUUCUUCAGCCUGUGCAAUAACAAAUUAUUAGGAUACCACUCAGUCUCCGUCGUGGACGAUUAGUAAUGGCCUUUUCAAGGAUAUGCUCAUCUUCAUCAAUGAUGUGAUAUGUCUUGGUCAAAACUGUGUGCUUGAAGUGAGGGCUCUGAUCAAAGAUAAACUCAAGAUUCUCUUUUGGUUCUUCAUCCCUAUUACAUUUGAUAUUGUUAAGAUACUUAUCUUGCUUAGUUAUUGUUGGGGGUGGAUUUACAUCCUCCCUCAAGGCCCAUUAGACAACCAAAUUAGGCUCAUUUUACCAUCAAACCCUACAUCUCUCUUCUAUAAAUAAGGAACUAUCUCCUUAUGAGAAAGGAGGGGGUUUCUCCUCUUCUUAGAUUAAGAAACAUACUUUCAUAAGAGAUUUGUAGAUUGAAAAGGUUCACUUUACAUUUGUAUCCAUUUUUGUAAUGAACCUUUACUCAAUAAAAUCUCAUUUAUGUUCUUUUCCAUUUGAUUUCAUCUAAAGAUUUCUCCUAAACCUCAAGAAUCUAACUCUCAUUCUUAGAUUCUUUUAUUGUAUUGAUUCAACAAACAUUUCAGCAUAAACACCAUUUUUGGAUCAAACAGUUGGCGCUAGAAAGAGGGGGAAAGGAGAACAAUCUUCAAAAGGUGGAAAAAAAAAAAAAAAAGGAUGAAGUAUCAAUGUCGUUUGUUUCUUCACGAAGGGAGAUGGCUUUGAGCAAGAGAGAUUGACGAUAACAGGUCAAGCUCGAAGCUUUCUUCAACCAAGAUGAAAGUUUUGGUUUCGAUUUACCCCCCAACAAGCCCAAGACUCUGAGCUUGCAAAUCUGGUCCUUCGUUUCAUGAAGAUCGCGAAAGAGAGGAGGGCUUGAGGGGAGCGGCAAUGGCGAUCUCGGCGAUGCUCGAGUCUCGUUCUUUCCCGAGUCUGGUCAAGCAGAAGUCGCGAAGAACACCAGGACAGAGAGAGACGCGAAGAAGCGACUGAGCUCCGAGACACGAGGGGAAAGUUCGAAACUUUCUUCAAUCUCGAUCCGCCGGUGAAGUUGGCCCCGAGACACGAUCAGGUCUCGAUCUUUGCCGGAGAGCGAGCUGCGACUUUAACAAGUUCAACGGAUAGGCUGCGAAGGAGAAAGAUCGAGACUAUCCGCCGGUGAAGACGACAUCUCGAUCCGCCGGUGAGGUUAACGGUAUCUCGCCCACUUCUGGUCCUUGGGUUCAGGAAGAUCGCGGAAGAGCGGAGGACUUGAUCGGAGCGGCAACUGCGAUCUCGGUGAUGCUCGAGUCUUGUUCUUUCCCCAGUUUGGUCAAGUAGAAGUCACGAAGAAGACUAGGACAGAGAGAGACGCGAAGAAGCGACUGAGCUCCGACGUGAAUGGCAGCAGAUCUGUGGCUCCUUCUUGCGAUGAUUGAGUCUGGUUCCGCCAGUGAAGCUUCUGAGAUUGCUCUUCUCGGACUGAUCAUGCUUCUUUCCAGUCCACCAACGAGUCUCAAGCUUGAAGACCUGAGCUCCGACGUCAACGGCAACAAGUAUUUGGCUUCUCCUCGUCAUAACUGGGAGCCUUCUCUUCGGUGACCACGGUCCAAAAGCAGUGACGAUGAACCAAUCACCUCCUCGUUGUGCAAACUAGCUGCAACUCAUCCUCAAAGAGUCAGUCGUGAUUGUUGAGGCAAGAAGAAAAGUCAGAACCAAGAGUAAUAUGAAAUCCUCAAGCCACGCUUUGAGAAACAAACUCAAAGUCUCAUGUUUUGACAUGUGAGGUCUUAGCUCAAGCUCGUAUCCCCAGACCCCAGUGGAGAGAUCAAGACACAUCCUCAUAGCGGCGUCCCACCAGCUUGACCGUUGUACCCAAGAACCUCGUGUUAAUGGGUCAGGCUAUGCGGCUCCUUCUCGUCAAAGCUCGAGACUUGAUCCCGGCAAGAACCAUCUCAUCACAAGCUUGCCGUCUCGGCACGAGCUUGUCGUCUCGUCCUUUCACUUGAAGAGAUUGCAGCACAACUCACAAGCUGAAUCUCAGCAGAGCUCACGAGCCUGACCUCGUCCAACAUUAUCUACAUCUCGAUCCUAAGUUCUCAGCAUAAUAAACUCAUCAAGCUCUUGCCUCUACAUCACGCCGGACACGGUCUUGCACCUGAGCUUCUCAUCAAAGUGUAAAAUGUGGAUCACGACAUCUCUGCUCUCAAUUUGAGGCUUGGGAAUUUCAGUUCCUGACACCACUAUCCUACAUUCUUCCACUGCCUCUUGCUGCUCUGUCAUGACUUGUCUCGGGCUUGUGCUUCUACGGAUGGAGCCUGAGCACCCGCUUUGGCAUGCUCCAGCUUCUCACUGCCCCUGUUAUGAGGCCACUCAUCUUCACAAGAUAACUAUGUGAGACAGCUCACUGCUCCUGUUCGAAGUUCGUCAGCAACUUGGCACCAGUUCAACCCUGGCAGUCGCGCGAUCACCUCAGUAACAGCUCGGCACGACUUGCCACCGCUUCCAGUAACUAGGCGAUCAUCUUAAAGUUUGGCAUCUCCAGCUCGUGAUCACAUGACAAGCAUCACCAGCUCAUGAUCACAAGACAAGGCCUCUUCUACUCGCCACCAUUCACAAGACGUCAAGCUCUCCCACCGCUUGUUUCAUCUCCACCGCAAAGAUAAGUUCUUUAUUGAAUUAUCACAUAUUCACAUGUUUUAAUUACUUUUAAAUUAAUGCUACGGUAAACAUUGUGGCUUUGGUUUAAAUUUUUAAACAAUUUUAAGUUGUUCAUUCUCAUAUAACCUUUAUGAGAUGAUUCAUGCCAUUGCUGAUAUUAAUAAUUAACAAUUAUCAUGUCAUCAUGUGCAAGAGCCGAGCAUUAACAUGGAUUUAACCAUCGUUUGCUUUCUUAUUGACUAUGCAAAACUUGGCUAUUUCUUUUGGUUAACCUUGAUCUGAUCAUGCUUUUUGUUGUGAGCCAGUGAUCAUUGAGCCAAAGAGAAAAAAAAAAGAAUCAACAAGCAGUUGCCACCAUCAUGUCUUCAUGCUUUGUAAGACGGCUCUCAACCACGAGCUCAUCGGGAGGAAGCGGUACCGGCAACACAAGCCAACACGAUUCUCAACAUCAUCGUAGCCCGACGAACACACAAUCCAACAACUUGCUCGACACACAUGAUCUCAACGCGAGACUUCGGGUCAGCAAUAGUUCGGUAAACAUGAUUUUAGGCACGAAUUUAAAUUAAACUUGCUUUUUAUUAGGCACGAAUUUGCAGUCGACUCGCUUAUUGCUAGACACGAGUUUACAAAAACUCGUCUUUGGCAAGGCAUGAGUUUACAGAAACUCUCCUUCUAUAAGGCACGAGCUCUCAGUAAACUCGCAUUCGUCUCAGCAUGAGUUUAGUAAACUCGUCUUUCGCUAAGCACGAGUUUAAAGCAAAUUCGCCUUUUAUUAGGCACAAGUUCAAAAUAAACUCGCCUAAAUCGUCAUAGGCAUGAAUGUGUCUAAUUAAUUGUCUAAUAAACCAUAUUCGUAAAAUUCAUAGAGAUCGACUUCAUCUCUCUCUACGAACUUGGGGGGGGGCUUACUGUUGGGGGUGGAUUUACAUCCUCCCUCAAGGCCCAUUAGACAACCAAAUUAGGCUCAUUUUACCAUCAAACCCUACAUCUCUCUUCUAUAAAUAAGGAACUAUCUCCUUAUGAGAAAGGAGGGGGUUUCUCCUCUUCUUAGAUUAAGAAACAUACUUUCAUAAGAGAUUUGUAGAUUGAAAAGGUUCACUUUACAUUUGUAUCCAUUUUUGUAAUGAACCUUUACUCAAUAAAAUCUCAUUUAUGUUCUUUUCCAUUUGA
Brassica napus (rape) is the source of this 4083-nucleotide long non-coding RNA. RefSeq lists it as uncharacterized. The transcript is spliced from 2 exons. Lineage: Eukaryota; Viridiplantae; Streptophyta; Magnoliopsida; Brassicales; Brassicaceae. The record is from RefSeq and is a predicted model, not a curated record.